This 427-nucleotide ribosomal RNA is filed under the name uncultured beta proteobacterium. Its description in RNAcentral is "bacterial SSU rRNA". It matches the Rfam family "Bacterial small subunit ribosomal RNA", at positions 355 to 774 of the family's 1533-position model. The record is from RNAcentral. Lineage: Bacteria; Pseudomonadati; Pseudomonadota; Betaproteobacteria.
UGGGGAAUUUUGGACAAUGGGCGAAAGCCUGAUCCAGCCAUGCCGCGUGAGUGAAGAAGGCCUUCGGGUUGUAAAGCUCUUUUAGUCGGAAAGAAAGAGUUGCAAUGAAUAAUUGUGAUUUAUGACGGUACCGACAGAAAAAGCACCGGCUAACUACGUGCCAGCAGCCGCGGUAAUACGUAGGGUGCGAGCGUUAAUCGGAAUUACUGGGCGUAAAGGGUGCGCAGGCGGUUCUGCAAGUCAGAUGUGAAAGCCCCGGGCUUAACCUGGGAAUUGCGUUUGAAACUACAAGGCUAGAGUGCAGCAGAGGGGAGUGGAAUUCCAUGUGUAGCAGUGAAAUGCGUAGAGAUGUGGAAGAACACCGAUGGCGAAGGCAGCUCCCUGGGUUGACACUGACGCUCAUGCACGAAAGCGUGGGGAGCAAACA